CUACGGGCGGCACCAGUGAGGAAUAAUGCACAAUGGGGGGAACCCUGAUGCAGCAACGCCGCGUGGAGGAUGACGCAUUUCGGUGUGUAAACUCCUUUUAUAUGUCAAGAAAAUGACGGUAGCAUAUGAAUAAGCACCGGCUAACUCCGUGCCAGCAGCCGCGGUAAUACGGAGGGUGCAAGCGUUACUCGGAAUCACUGGGCGUAAAGGACGCGUAGGCGGGUUGGAAAGUCAGGUGUGAAAUCCUGCAGCUUAACUGUAGAACUGCACUUGAAACUUCUAAUCUAGAGUAUGGGAGGGGGAGAUGGAAUUAGUGGUGUAGGGGUAAAAUCCGUAGAUAUCACUAGGAAUACCUAAAGCGAAGGCGAUCUCCUGGAACAUUACUGACGCUACGGCGUGAAAGCGUGGGGAGCAAACAGGAUUAGAUACCCCGGUAGUC
This 439-nucleotide ribosomal RNA is filed under the name uncultured bacterium. RNAcentral's name for it is "partial 16S ribosomal RNA". It matches the Rfam family "Bacterial small subunit ribosomal RNA", at positions 339 to 795 of the family's 1533-position model. The record is from RNAcentral.